UGUGAGAAUUACAUAUUUGUUGGCUGUCUUGUUCAUACUUUUUUUUUUUUUUUACAAUCAUUGAGAUUUGAAGGCAGCCCUAAAAUCAUUAAAUCACACAGCAAGGAUAUUACCUGGAACACAUCACACAGCAGACCUAUUAGUAAGGGGCGAAAUAUCCUCUUCAUUAAGCACCAUGGCUUUUGUGGCAGGUGUUCUCACCGUAAACUUCAAGCAACUGUGUUUAAUCGAUACUGAGAUGACAAGGGAGCUUUAUAUAGAGGCUGAAAUUUGUUUUUCAAUUUUGAAUAUUGUCUUGGAACUAUGAAUGCUGCUUGAAACGUUUCAAGACCCAAGAUUACAUUCAAUAGAUUAUUUUUUCGAAGCAUUUUCUCGUAUAUAGAUGUGUAAUAGCUGUAUGUGUAUAUCUGUAUCUUUAUAUAUGUAAAUAAAUGUAGAUUAUAGAUUAGCUUCUCAAUGUAAUUAGAACUCUUUGACUAUUAGAAGUCUUUAUUUACAUCGGUAAUAGACUAUUAGCCACAAUUAAUUCGACU
Molecule: long non-coding RNA, 533 nt
Organism: Ipomoea nil (Japanese morning glory)
Lineage: Eukaryota; Viridiplantae; Streptophyta; Magnoliopsida; Solanales; Convolvulaceae
Exons: 2
Source: RefSeq, a predicted model, not a curated record